This 459-nucleotide ribosomal RNA is filed under the name uncultured bacterium. RNAcentral describes it as "partial 16S ribosomal RNA". It matches the Rfam family "Bacterial small subunit ribosomal RNA", at positions 338 to 795 of the family's 1533-position model. The record is from RNAcentral.
CCUACGGGAGGCAGCAGUGAGGAAUAUUGGUCAAUGGUCGGGAGACUGAACCAGCCAAGCCGCGUGAGGGAUGAAGGUACAGAGUAUCGUAAACCUCUUUUGUCAGGGAACAAAGGCGGGGACGUGUCCCCGGAUGAGUGUACCUGAAGAAAAAGCAUCGGCUAACUCCGUGCCAGCAGCCGCGGUAAUACGGAGGAUGCGAGCGUUAUCCGGUUUUAUUGGGUUUAAAGGGUGCGCAGGCGGGCUGUUAAGUCAGCGGUAAAAGCCCGGGGCUCAACCCGGACCCGCCGUUGAAACUGGCAGUCUCGAGUUGGAGAGAAGUAUGCGGAAUGCGCGGUGUAGCGGUGAAAUGCAUAGAUAUCGCGCAGAACUCCGAUUGCGAAGGCAGCAUGCCGGCUCCACACUGACGCUGAGGCACGAAAGCGUGGGUAUCGAACAGGAUUAGAUACCCUUGUAGUC